GCUGGCGGUAUGCUUAACACAUGCAAGUCGAACGAGAAGGAAGAGCUUGCUCUUCCUGAAAGUGGCGAACGGGUGAGUAACGCGUGGGUAACCUACCCUUUGGAAAGGAAUAGCCUCGGGAAACUGGGAAUAAUGCCUUAUAAGAUACGUUUGUCGCAUGGCAUUUGUAUUAAACGCUCCGGCGCCAUAGGAUGGACCCGCGUCCCAUUAGCUAGUUGGUGAGAUAACAGCUCACCAAGGCCACGAUGGGUAACCGGCCUGAGAGGGCGAACGGUCACACUGGAACUGAGACACGGUCCAGACUCCUACGGGAGGCAGCAGUGGGGAAUAUUGCGCAAUGGGGGCAACCCUGACGCAGCAAUACCGCGUGAGUGAAGAAGGUUUUCGGAUCGUAAAGCUCUGUUAUUGGGGAAGAAAAAAAGACGGUACCCAAGAAGAAAGUUCCGGCUAACUACGUGCCAGCAGCCGCGGUAAUACGUAGGGAACAAGCGUUGUCCGGAUUUACUGGGCGUAAAGGGCACGCAGGCGGUUUUUUAAGUCAGAUGUGAAAGGCCACAGCUCAACUGUGGACAUGCAUUUGAAACUGAAAGACUUGAGUAUUGGAGAGGCAAGUGGAAUUCCUAGUGUAGCGGUGAAAUGCGUAGAUAUUAGGAGGAACACCGGUGGCGAAGGCGGCUUGCUGGACAAAUACUGACGCUGA
RNAcentral lists this ribosomal RNA (700 nucleotides) under uncultured bacterium. Its description in RNAcentral is "bacterial SSU rRNA". It matches the Rfam family "Bacterial small subunit ribosomal RNA", at positions 35 to 749 of the family's 1533-position model. The record is from RNAcentral.